CAAGAGCGAUCUCGGCUCACUGCAACCUCCGCCUCCUGGGUUCAAGCGAUUCUCCUGCCUCAGCCUCCUGAGUAGCUGGGAUUACAGGCGCCCGGCCACUACACCCGGCUAAUUUUUGUAUUUUUAGUAGAGAGGGGGUUUCACUGUGUUAGUCAGGCUGGUAUCGAACUCCUGCCAAGCAUUCUCAUGAUCGGUGUGGUGGUGAGUUAGAAAGACUAAAGCACUUUAGCUGAAGUCACUUCGUGUUUUUGCAAGCUGAGGGAAAGCCAUGAUUCAACCAGCUUUGACUUGUUCCUCACACAGAUGAUAAGCAUUCAACAAGGAGUCAGAAAUUUGGCAACUUGAACUUUCUGGAAAAGUCUUCAAAGUUGGAAGUCUCAAGAAGAAAACUCCUACACACAAAAGAAGUCUUAAGCCAGGUUACCUUGUUUUCAAGCCCACACUGCGUUAGAAGGAGUGAACAUGAAUAGUGUUGAGGGUAGAUCCAGAUGCAACAGCUUUCUGACAGAGUGCGGUUCAGAAAACUCAGAAGUAGCUAGGGUUCUGUGAACAUGGACGCCAGGCUGGAGCUCCUGCUGCAAUGGGGGCCCCCAGAAUUGGUUGGGAACCCUGCCAUGCUGAAGGAGGGGCCACAGGUAGCUCGUCUGUGCAUAUGGGUAAGGCCUGCAGAAGUACACACUGUUUCUGGACAGGUGCAGGCACUUAGAAGGGCAAGCUUCAUUCAUCCGGUGCUCAUUUAGCUGUUUCUUCAUUGUUCGGUGGGUGUUUAUUUUGUCAGGAAAAGUAAAAAAAUGAUGUUGCUUCCAAAGUCCCACAUGAAUCUAUUUUUCUUUUUAUGUUGCAGUUUUUGCAAUACACAUACUUUGAAGAAAUUGCUGGAGAUAGAUCCUUUAGAUGACUUCUUGUCUAAAGACAAUGACAUUAGAAACACAGCUGUCUUACCAAAAAAGACCUACACACUCCCGUCCUGUAAACAAGGCUCUGUGUGCCUGGCACAGGCAUGGCUGCUCUUAUUUUUAACUGCUUUUGUGUGAGAAUACAAAGAGAAAUAUUACGUAAAGAGCAGGAUGUUUUGGACAUCCACUGCUACUGCAUUACCUAAUCCCAUGACUGCAGAUUUCAAGAGAUUCAUCUGCAGGUGUUGAGAGCCUCAGAAAUGUGUACCACAGGCAUUGGUAUAUAAGAGCAAAGUUGAAAACUCCACAAGUGAUAUUGGAGAUGUCAGAGGUAAUUGUGUGUCUUCUUGGACUGGAAUGAUGA
Molecule: long non-coding RNA, 1260 nt
Filed under: Homo sapiens (human)
Lineage: Eukaryota; Metazoa; Chordata; Mammalia; Primates; Hominidae
Description: HSALNT0136470
Source: RNAcentral